GAUGAACGCUGGCGGCGUGCCUAAUACAUGCAAGUCGAGCGAACAGACGAGGAGCUUGCUCCUCUGACGUUAGCGGCGGACGGGUGAGUAACACGUGGAUAACCUACCUAUAAGACUGGGAUAACUUCGGGAAACCGGAGCUAAUACCGGAUAACAUGUUGAACCGCAUGGUUCAACAGUGAAAGACGGUCUUGCUGUCACUUAUAGAUGGAUCCGCGCCGCAUUAGCUAGUUGGUAAGGUAACGGCUUACCAAGGCAACGAUGCGUAGCCGACCUGAGAGGGGGAUCGGCCACACUGGAACUGAGCCACGGUCCAGACUCCUACGGGAGGCAGCAGUAGGGAAUCUUCCGCAAUGGGCGAAAGCCUGACGGAGCAACGCCGCGUGAGUGAAGAAGGUCUUCGGAUCGUAAAACUCUGUUAUUAGGGAAGAACAAAUGUGUAAGUAACUAUGCACGUCUUGACGGUACCUAAUCAGAAAGCCACGGCUAACUACGUG
RNAcentral lists this ribosomal RNA (497 nucleotides) under uncultured bacterium. Its description in RNAcentral is "partial 16S ribosomal RNA". It matches the Rfam family "Bacterial small subunit ribosomal RNA", at positions 28 to 507 of the family's 1533-position model. The record is from RNAcentral.